This 161-nucleotide ribosomal RNA is filed under the name uncultured bacterium. Its description in RNAcentral is "partial 16S ribosomal RNA". It matches the Rfam family "Bacterial small subunit ribosomal RNA", at positions 356 to 509 of the family's 1533-position model. The record is from RNAcentral.
UAGGGAAUUUCGGCAAUGGGGGAACCCUGACCGAGCAACGCCGCGUGAAGGAAGAAGGAAUUCGUUCUGUAAACUUCUGUUAUAAAGGAAGAAAGACGGAUGGAGGAAAUGACAUCCGAGUGACGGUACUUUAUGAGAAAGCCACGGCUAACUACCGUGCC